AUCAGCCACUGUGCCUGGUUGCAAACGACAUUACCAACUUGUUCCUGUGCACUAUGGUGCCCACUCCAUUCAGGGGGCUGGUGGUUUGGCGGUUAACAUCAGAAGAGGGUAGGCAUCACACUUUAUCAUCUUUCCGUGUCUUCAGUCUUUUGUGGUGUUUCUUGACCUGAGACUCACAGCCUCAUCUUCACUCCUUGUCUUGGGUUUUCUAGGAGACACUUUGUUUUGAUCCUCUGGGACAGGCAAAUGCAAUGUCUAGAAUAAAUGUAUGUGUUAUUAAAUUUCACCCCUAAAUGAAUAAUUCUUGCUGAGAUGCACAGAGUGCAAUGUGAGGAAGUAACAUGAGCCUCAGAAUCCACAGAAUCUCAGACCUACAUGGCAGGAUUGGAAAAUCUUCCAGCAAUCGAAAUUAAGCUACUAAUCAUGUCCUCUC
This 433-nucleotide long non-coding RNA is filed under the name Homo sapiens (human). RNAcentral's name for it is "non-protein coding lnc-CYTH3-2:1". The record is from RNAcentral. Lineage: Eukaryota; Metazoa; Chordata; Mammalia; Primates; Hominidae.